This 610-nucleotide ribosomal RNA is filed under the name uncultured Chloroflexota bacterium. Its description in RNAcentral is "bacterial SSU rRNA". It matches the Rfam family "Bacterial small subunit ribosomal RNA", at positions 8 to 639 of the family's 1533-position model. Lineage: Bacteria; Bacillati; Chloroflexota. The record is from RNAcentral.
AGAGUUUGAUCAUGGCUCAGGAUAAACGCUGGCGGCGUGCUUUAUGCAUGCAAGUCGAACGGUCUCGAUUUAUCGAGAUAGUGGCGAACGGGUGAGUAACGCGUAAGUAACCUGCCCCUAAGUAGAGGAUAACUCUGAGAAAUUAGAGCUAAUACUGUAUGUGGUGGUGGAGGUAAUGCUUCAUUACUAAAGCUUUAGGGCGCUUAGGGAGGGGCUUGCGUCCGAUUAGCUAGUUGGUAGGGUAAUGGUCUACCAAGGCGAUGAUCGGUAGCUGGUUUGAGAGGACAUUCAGCCACACUGGGACUGAGAUACGGCCCAGACUCCUACGGGAGGCAGCAGCAAGGAAUUUUGUGCAAUGGGCGAAAGCCUGACACAGCGACGCCGUGUGGGGGAUGAAGGCUUUCGGGUUGUAAACCCCUUUUCUCAGGGAAGAAUAAUGACGGUACCUGAGGAAUAAGUCGUGGCUAACUACGUGCCAGCAGCCGCGGUAAUACGUAGGCGGCAAGCGUUAUCCGGAUUUAUUGGGCGUAAAGAGGGCGUAGGCGGUUUUUCAAGUCGAUUGUAAAAAUCUCCCGGCUUAACUGGGGAGGAGUCAUUUCGAUACUGUUUA